Molecule: ribosomal RNA, 263 nt
Filed under: Tibicen sp. WCW-2001
Lineage: Eukaryota; Metazoa; Arthropoda; Insecta; Hemiptera; Cicadidae
Description: partial large subunit ribosomal RNA
Rfam family: Eukaryotic large subunit ribosomal RNA
Source: RNAcentral
GAGUCAUUGGGNNCUUAAACCUAAAGGCGAAAUGAAAUUGAAGGAUCNGGGCCUCACGUCCGGAUCGAGGGAAAAUGNCCNAUCCNAUGCAUCNCGCCCACACUCCCGGGGCGUCUCGAUCUCAUUCCGAGGUGAGGCGCACCCAGAGCGUACACGCUGGGACCCGAAAGAUGGUGAACUAUGCCUGGUCAGGACGAAGUCAGGGGAAACCCUGAUGGAGGUCCGUAGCGAUUCUGACGUGCAAAUGAUCGUCUGAACUGGGU